UACGUAGGGGGCGAGCGUUGUCCGGAUUCAUUGGGCGUAAAGAGCUCGUAGGCGGUUUGGCAAGUCGGGUGUGAAAACUCCAGGCUCAACCUGGAGAUGCCAUCUGAUACUGCCAUGACUGGAGUCUGGUAGGGGAGCACGGAAUUCCUGGUGUAGCGGUGAAAUUCGUAGAUAUCUGGAGGAACACCGGUGGCGAAGGCGGCAUCCUGGACCAACACUGACACUGAGGAGCGAAAGCCAGGGGAGCAAACGGG
This 254-nucleotide ribosomal RNA is filed under the name uncultured bacterium. RNAcentral describes it as "partial 16S ribosomal RNA". It matches the Rfam family "Bacterial small subunit ribosomal RNA", at positions 524 to 776 of the family's 1533-position model. The record is from RNAcentral.